RNAcentral lists this transfer RNA (84 nucleotides) under Felis catus (domestic cat). It matches the Rfam family "tRNA". From Rfam's summary of the family: Transfer RNA (tRNA) molecules are approximately 80 nucleotides in length. Their secondary structure includes four short double-helical elements and three loops (D, anti-codon, and T loops). Further hydrogen bonds mediate the characteristic L-shaped molecular structure. tRNAs have two regions of fundamental functional importance: the anti-codon, which is responsible for specific mRNA codon recognition, and the 3' end, to which the tRNAs corresponding amino acid is attached (by aminoacyl-tRNA synthetases). tRNAs cope with the degeneracy of the genetic code in two manners: having more than one tRNA (with a specific anti-codon) for a particular amino acid; and 'wobble' base-pairing, i.e. permitting non-standard base-pairing at the 3rd anti-codon position. Lineage: Eukaryota; Metazoa; Chordata; Mammalia; Carnivora; Felidae. The record is from Rfam by way of RNAcentral.
GCCUGGGUGGCUCAGUUGGUUAAGCGUCUGACUUCAGCUCAGGUCAUGAUCUCGUGGUUCAUGGGUUCGGCCCCUGCUCAGGCU